UCUGGUAAUGAUGGCAGAGAGGUCACACCCGUUCCCAUACCGAACACGGAAGUUAAGCUCUCUAGCGCCGAUGGUAGUU
This 79-nucleotide ribosomal RNA is filed under the name Bacillus thuringiensis serovar fukuokaensis. Lineage: Bacteria; Bacillati; Bacillota; Bacilli; Caryophanales; Bacillaceae. The record is from RNAcentral. RNAcentral also lists the same sequence under 3 other names.